This 258-nucleotide long non-coding RNA is filed under the name Dasypus novemcinctus (nine-banded armadillo). RNAcentral's name for it is "lncRNA (ENSDNOG00000051844.1)". The record is from RNAcentral. Lineage: Eukaryota; Metazoa; Chordata; Mammalia; Cingulata; Dasypodidae.
GGGAGCCCCGAGGAAGCAAUCAGUAUUUGAGCAUCUGCAUUAUCAGAGCAGCCCAAGUACUUCAAAGCGUUUACGUGGCGGUGUUAGGCCUUCCUUCCGUACGCAGGCAUCUAGACAUCACCUCAGAGCCCUGAAGAACCAGCAUUUGCCAAGUUCCUGUGCGGCCUUGACGGGGUCUCCUGCCGGCGGGGUUCUCACGAUGUCACGGACACUCCUCCUUCUCCUCACCUCAGGCCUUUCACUGUGGUUCCGGGAAGU